CGGACGGGUGAGUAAUGUCUGGGAAACUGCCCGAUGGAGGGGGAUAACUACUGGAAACGGUGGCUAAUACCGCAUAAUGUCUGCGGACCAAAGCGGGGGACCUCCGGGCCUCGCGCCAUCAGAUGAACCCAUAUGGGAUUAGCUUGUAGGUAAGGUAACGGCUUACCUAGGCGACGAUCCCUAGCUGGUCUGAGAGGAUGAUCAGCCACACUGGGACUGAGACACGGCCCAG
This 232-nucleotide ribosomal RNA is filed under the name uncultured bacterium. RNAcentral describes it as "partial 16S ribosomal RNA". It matches the Rfam family "Bacterial small subunit ribosomal RNA", at positions 99 to 334 of the family's 1533-position model. The record is from RNAcentral.